RNAcentral lists this ribosomal RNA (626 nucleotides) under Lepiota eriophora. Its description in RNAcentral is "partial small subunit ribosomal RNA". It matches the Rfam family "Bacterial small subunit ribosomal RNA", at positions 417 to 898 of the family's 1533-position model. Lineage: Eukaryota; Fungi; Basidiomycota; Agaricomycetes; Agaricales; Agaricaceae. The record is from RNAcentral.
AACGGAUCUUAAUCAUUAUAUUGUGGUUCUUAAGAUAACAUAAGGGAAAAAAAUGAUAGUACCUUAUUAUUAGUGUUGUCCAACAUUACUGGUGCCAGAAGACUCGGUAACGCCAGAAACGCAAACGUUAGUCGUCUUAAUCAGGCGUAAAGGGUAAGUAGGCUGCUUUAAAAGUUAAUAAUUAUAAAGCUAUUUCUUUGGCUACAAUCUAGCAGCAGAAGCAGAAUUAUACUGCCAAAACUGCAGCAGUCUGGUCGGCAGCUAAAGAAGAAGGGGUGCAAAGUAAAAAUUGCUUAGCUACUACCGGAGGCUUUAACUAGCCAGUCUCUGCUGUUCUAAAGAAAAAAUAAAUAAUAAUGAAUUAAAGCUAGAAUCAAAAAGAGGAUAAGCCAAAUAAUAUUUAGAGUAAGGCUGAUAUCUUCAAAUACUAAAUAGAAUUCUAAUGGUGAAAACUUUUAUCUAAUAAUGAUUGACGCUGAGGAACGAAGGUGAGAAUAGAAAACAGGAUUAGAGACCCAGGUAUCUCUCACUGUCAACGAUGAAUGGUAGUUGUUAGCUUAGCUUAAGUUAGUAACGAUGUUAACGCGUUAACCAUUCCGCCUUGCGAGUACGUUGGCCAAAACUGA